AUUCUGACCAUAUUAGGUUCCUGUCAAUAUUCUUCGAUAGUUAUACUUCGAUAAUAGGAUAAAAGGUAGAUCUCCUGGCACAGCUUACCAGAAUCUUAAUGAUCAACUGAUAUCUACCAGUUGGUCUAUCAAGCUUCAUCUUCUGUAAUUCUCUGACUUGAACUUUUAGCUAAAACAAUUCUGAAAAAAAAUCUGCAUUUCCACAAACCCACUAGGCUCUAAUGUAUAUAUCUUGGUAAAUGUAUCCUUUCUCCUGGAAGUUCUCUUUCCA
Molecule: long non-coding RNA, 271 nt
Filed under: Bos taurus (domestic cattle)
Lineage: Eukaryota; Metazoa; Chordata; Mammalia; Artiodactyla; Bovidae
Description: long non-coding RNA NONBTAT026240
Source: RNAcentral